CUCAAGAUGGCUGCUGGCAUUCCUCUACAAAAUGGCGGCCUGCCUCACUCACUGUUACCCAGGCUUCAUUCCCGGCUUAAUAGGGGCUCCAAAAUGGGGCGCACCUUCCAAUCAAUGAUGUCCUAUAUUAGCUGGUUUGGCUUUUUUUUAAAAAAUAUUGCCUUACCCACCCAACCACCCACCUGCCCACAAGAGAGAAGGCAGAGGAAAGGCCUGAUGACAGUCCUGCUUCCAGGUGGAUUUUUAGUUUCAUGUUUCCAAUAUUGCCAAGUUCCUGCUCUGGGUACUGAAACUCUAUGCUGCCUUGUACUUGUGGAUUUUGUGUUUUAUCGUUGUACUUUGAAGUUCAUGGACUGCCUGUUACCUAUUGAAAAUACUGUUUUUGGACUAUACUGUUUGCAUCAUUUUUAUUGCUUGGCUUUCAUAUAUUCUUCAAUAAACUGCUUGCUGAUUAUA
This is a long non-coding RNA of Anolis carolinensis (green anole), 456 nucleotides long. RefSeq lists it as uncharacterized. NCBI's taxonomy places the organism in Eukaryota, Metazoa, Chordata, Lepidosauria, Squamata, Anolidae. The record is from RefSeq and is a predicted model, not a curated record. The transcript is spliced from 2 exons.